AUUGAACGCUGGCGGAAUGCUUUACACAUGCAAGUCGAACGGUAGAGGGGGCAACCCUUGAGAGUGGCGAACGGGUGAGUAAUAUAUCGGAACGUGCCCAGUCGUGGGGGAUAACGUAGCGAAAGUUACGCUAAUACCGCAUACGAUCUACGGAUGAAAGCGGGGGGACUCGCAAGAGCCUCGCGCGAUUGGAGCGGCCGAUAUCAGAUUAGCUUGUUGGUAAGGUAAGAGCUUACCAAGGCGACGAUCAGUAUCUGGUUUGAGAGGACGAUCAGACACACUGGAACUGAGACACGGUCCAGACUCCUACGGGAGGCAGCAGUGGGGAAUUUUCCGCAAUGGGCGAAAGCCUGACGGAGCAAUACCGCGUGAGGGAAGAAUGCCUAUGGGUUGUAAACCUCUUUUUCAGGGAGGAAUAAAAUGACGUGUACCUGAAGAAUAAGCAUCGGCUAACUCCGUG
Molecule: ribosomal RNA, 460 nt
Filed under: uncultured bacterium
Lineage: Bacteria
Description: bacterial SSU rRNA
Rfam family: Bacterial small subunit ribosomal RNA
Source: RNAcentral